UGUACGGCUAGGUUCCCCCUUUUUUCCGGUUCAAGGGGGAACCGGGAAAAGCCGGUAAGU
RNAcentral lists this transfer RNA (60 nucleotides) under Carrhotus xanthogramma. RNAcentral describes it as "tRNA-Glu". Lineage: Eukaryota; Metazoa; Arthropoda; Arachnida; Araneae; Salticidae. The record is from RNAcentral.